UAACGCGAAGAACCUUACCUAGGCUUGACAUGCACGGAAAUCUCGUAGAGAUACGGGGUGCCUUUGGCGUCGUGCACAGGUGGUGCAUGGUUGUCGUCAGCUCGUGUCGUGAGAUGUUGGGUUAAGUCCCGCAACGAGCGCAACCCUCGUUCUAUGUUGCCAGCACGUGAUGGUGGGGACUCAUAGGAGACUGCCGGGGUCAACUCGGAGGAAGGUGGGGAUGACGUCAAAUCAUCAUGCCCCUUAUGUCUAGGGCUGCAAACAUGCUACAAUGGCCGGUACAAAGGGCUGCGAUACCGCGAGGUGGAGCGAAUCCCAAAAAGCCGGUCUCAGUUCGGAUUGGGGUCUGCAACUCGACCCCAUGAAGUUGGAGUCGCUAGUAAUCGCAGAUCAGCAACGCUGCGGUGAAUACGUUCCCGGGUCUUGUACACACCGA
RNAcentral lists this ribosomal RNA (436 nucleotides) under uncultured bacterium. RNAcentral describes it as "bacterial SSU rRNA". It matches the Rfam family "Bacterial small subunit ribosomal RNA", at positions 957 to 1393 of the family's 1533-position model. The record is from RNAcentral.